GAUGAAGAACGAAGCGAAAUGCGAUAAGUAAUGUGAAUUGCAGAAUUCAGUGAAUCAUCGAAUCUUUGAACGCACAUUGCGCCCCCUGGUAUUCCGGGGGGCAUGCCUGUUCGAGCGUCAUUACAACCCUCAAGCUCUGCUUGGUAUUGGGCCCCGCCAGUUCUGGCGGGCCCUAAAGUCAGUGGCGGUGCCUUCCGGCUCCGAGCGUAGUAAUUCUUCUCGCUCUGGAGACCCGGUUGUGUGCUUGCCAACAACCCCCAAUUUUUUAAGGUUGACCUCGGAUCAGGUAGGGAUACCCGCUGAACUUAAGCAUAUCAAUAAGCGGAGGA
Molecule: unclassified non-coding RNA, 329 nt
Filed under: soil metagenome
Description: partial contains 5.8S ribosomal RNA, internal transcribed spacer 2, and large subunit ribosomal RNA
Rfam family: 5.8S ribosomal RNA (bases 1-120)
Source: RNAcentral